UUGAAUUUUAAUGAAGAGUUUGGUUGUAGCUGGCCCAUUCAUUUGGGCAUGUGCACACCUUCCUCUUUCAUCCCACACACACCUGUGAACCUGUGAGACAGAGAUGGGGAAUUUACUUGCUGCUUUUUGGAAUACAAAGGCAAUAGGUUAUUGGACCCCCCCUCUGUCUACUCAAUUAAUAUAAACCCAAUUUAUUUUAAAACGAAUGUAAUGGAUGUAACACAUCUCAUAC
RNAcentral lists this unclassified non-coding RNA (232 nucleotides) under soil metagenome. RNAcentral's name for it is "partial internal transcribed spacer 1". The record is from RNAcentral.